AAGGAAUAUUGGUCAAUGGACGAAAGUCUGAACCAGCCAUGCCGCGUGCAGGAUGACUGCCCUAUGGGUUGUAAACUGCUUUUAUAUAGGAAGAAAAACUUUCUCGUGAGAAAGCUUGACGGUACUAUAAGAAUAAGGAUCGGCUAACUCCGUGCCAGCAGCCGCGGUAAUACGGAGGAUCCAAGCGUUAUCCGGAAUCAUUGGGUUUAAAGGGUCCGUAGGUGGACAAAUAAGUCAGAGGUGAAAUCCUGCAGCUCAACUGUAGAACUGCCUUUGAUACUGUUUGUCUUGAGUUAUUAUGAAGUGGUUAGAAUGUGUAGUGUAGCGGUGAAAUGCAUAGAUAUUACACAGAAUACCGAUUGCGAAGGCAGAUCACUAAUAAUCAACUGACACUGAUGGACGAAAGCGUGGGUAGCGAACAGG
RNAcentral lists this ribosomal RNA (423 nucleotides) under uncultured bacterium. Its description in RNAcentral is "bacterial SSU rRNA". It matches the Rfam family "Bacterial small subunit ribosomal RNA", at positions 356 to 776 of the family's 1533-position model. The record is from RNAcentral.